CAUUCAUAUGGUUUCCUGUUUGGCGGAUUGGUGUUUUGCAGUAGCUGUGCCUGUGUCUCUGGAAGGGAAGAUCUACUAAACGGCUGUUAACCCCUUUUAUGCCUGGCGGUGCCGUUACACCCUUUAAAACACGUGUAACACACAGUAAUGUGUGUAAUAGUGAUGUCCCGAACAGUUCGCCGAACGGUUCGCCACGGAUGGCG
Molecule: non-coding RNA, 203 nt
Organism: Pelobates cultripes (western spadefoot toad)
Lineage: Eukaryota; Metazoa; Chordata; Amphibia; Anura; Pelobatidae
Source: the annotation of a GenBank genome assembly